ACUGUAGCGCAAUGGAUAACCCGUUGGACUUGUAAUCCAAAGGUCAUGGGUUCGAAUCCCACCUGAGAUG
This 70-nucleotide transfer RNA is filed under the name Trichonephila inaurata madagascariensis. Its description in RNAcentral is "tRNA-Thr". It matches the Rfam family "tRNA". Rfam says of the family: Transfer RNA (tRNA) molecules are approximately 80 nucleotides in length. Their secondary structure includes four short double-helical elements and three loops (D, anti-codon, and T loops). Further hydrogen bonds mediate the characteristic L-shaped molecular structure. tRNAs have two regions of fundamental functional importance: the anti-codon, which is responsible for specific mRNA codon recognition, and the 3' end, to which the tRNAs corresponding amino acid is attached (by aminoacyl-tRNA synthetases). tRNAs cope with the degeneracy of the genetic code in two manners: having more than one tRNA (with a specific anti-codon) for a particular amino acid; and 'wobble' base-pairing, i.e. permitting non-standard base-pairing at the 3rd anti-codon position. Lineage: Eukaryota; Metazoa; Arthropoda; Arachnida; Araneae; Nephilidae. The record is from RNAcentral.